AGUGCAUCAGGCGGAUGCCUUGGCGAUGAUAGGCGACGAAGGACGUGUAAGCCUGCGAAAAGCGCGGGGGAGCUGGCAAUAAAGCUAUGAUUCCGCGAUGUCCGAAUGGGGAAACCCACUGCAUUCUGUGCAGUAUCCUAAGUUGAAUACAUAGGCUUAGAGAAGCGAACCCGGAGAACUGAACCAUCUAAGUACCCGGAGGAAAAGAAAUCAACCGAGAUUCCGCAAGUAGUGGCGAGCGAACGCGGAGGAGCCUGUACGUAAUAACUGUCGAGAUAGAAGAACAAGCUGGGAAGCUUGACCAUAGCGGGUGACAGUCCCGUAUUCGAAAUCUCAACAGCGGUACUAAGCGUACGAAAAGUAGGGCGGGACACGUGAAAUCCUGUCUGAAUAUGGGGGGACCAUCCUCCAAGGCUAAAUACUCAUCAUCGACCGAUAGUGAACCAGUACCGUGAGGGAAAGGCGAAAAGAACCCCGGGAGGGGAGUGAAACAGAACCUGAAACCUGAUGCAUACAAACAGUGGGAGCGCCCUAGUGGUGUGACUGCGUACCUUUUGUAUAAUGGGUCAACGACUUACAUUCAGUAGCGAGCUUAACCGGAUAGGGGAGGCGUAGGGAAACCGAGUCUUAAUAGGGCGAUGAGUUGCUGGGUGUAGACCCGAAACCGAGUGAUCUAUCCAUGGCCAGGUUGAAGGUGCCGUAACAGGUACUGGAGGACCGAACCCACGCAUGUUGCAAAAUGCGGGGAUGAGCUGUGGGUAGGGGUGAAAGGCUAAACAAACUCGGAGAUAGCUGGUUCUCCCCGAAAACUAUUUAGGUAGUGCCUCGAGCAAGACACUGAUGGGGGUAAAGCACUGUUAUGGCUAGGGGGUUAUUGCAACUUACCAACCCAUGGCAAACUCAGAAUACCAUCAAGUGGUUCCUCGGGAGACAGACAGCGGGUGCUAACGUCCGUUGUCAAGAGGGAAACAACCCAGACCGCCGGCUAAGGUCCCAAAUGAUAGAUUAAGUGGUAAACGAAGUGGGAAGGCACAGACAGCCAGGAUGUUGGCUUAGAAGCAGCCAUCAUUUAAAGAAAGCGUAAUAGCUCACUGGUCGAGUCGUCCUGCGCGGAAGAUGUAACGGGGCUCAAAUCUAUAACCGAAGCUGCGGAUGCCGGUUUACCGGCAUGGUAGGGGAGCGUUCUGUAGGCUGAUGAAGGUGCAUUGUAAAGUGUGCUGGAGGUAUCAGAAGUGCGAAUGUUGACAUGAGUAGCGAUAAAGCGGGUGAAAAGCCCGCUCGCCGAAAGCCCAAGGUUUCCUACGCAACGUUCAUCGGCGUAGGGUAAGUCGGCCCCUAAGGCGAGGCAGAAAUGCGUAGUCGAUGGGAAACAGGUUAAUAUUCCUGUACUUGAUUCAAAUGCGAUGUGGGGACGGAGAAGGUUAGGUUGGCAAGCUGUUGGAAUAGCUUGUUUAAGCCGGUAGGUGGAAGACUUAGGCAAAUCCGGGUUUUCUUAACACCGAGAAGUGAUGACGAGUGUCUACGGACACGAAGCAACCGAUACCACGCUUCCAGGAAAAGCCACUAAGCUUCAGUUUGAAUCGAACCGUACCGCAAACCGACACAGGUGGGCAGGAUGAGAAUUCUAAGGCGCUUGAGAGAACUCGGGAGAAGGAACUCGGCAAAUUGAUACCGUAACUUCGGGAGAAGGUAUGCCCUCUAAGGUUAAGGACUUGCUCCGUAAGCCCCGGAGGGUCGCAGAGAAUAGGUGGCUGCGACUGUUUAUUAAAAACACAGCACUCUGCCAACACGAAAGUGGACGUAUAGGGUGUGACGCCUGCCCGGUGCCGGAAGGUUAAUUGAAGAUGUGCAAGCAUCGGAUCGAAGCCCCGGUAAACGGCGGCCGUAACUAUAACGGUCCUAAGGUAGCGAAAUUCCUUGUCGGGUAAGUUCCGACCCGCACGAAUGGCGUAACGAUGGCUACACUGUCUCCUCCCGAGACUCAGCGAAGUUGAAGUGGUUGUGAAGAUGCAAUCUACCCGCUGCUAGACGGAAAGACCCCGUGAACCUUUACUGUAGCUUUGCAUUGGACUUUGAAGUCACUUGUGUAGGAUAGGUGGGAGGCUUGGAAGCAGAGACGCCAGUCUCUGUGGAGUCGUCCUUGAAAUACCACCCUGGUGUCUUUGAGGUUCUAACCCAGACCCGUCAUCCGGGUCGGGGACCGUGCAUGGUAGGCAGUUUGACUGGGGCGGUCUCCUCCCAAAGCGUAACGGAGGAGUUCGAAGGUUACCUAGGUCCGGUCGGAAAUCGGACUGAUAGUGCAAUGGCAAAAGGUAGCUUAACUGCGAGACCGACAAGUCGGGCAGGUGCGAAAGCAGGACAUAGUGAUCCGGUGGUUCUGUAUGGAAGGGCCAUCGCUCAACGGAUAAAAGGUACUCCGGGGAUAACAGGCUGAUUCCGCCCAAGAGUUCAUAUCGACGGCGGAGUUUGGCACCUCGAUGUCGGCUCAUCACAUCCUGGGGCUGUAGUCGGUCCCAAGGGUAUGGCUGUUCGCCAUUUAAAGUGGUACGUGAGCUGGGUUUAAAACGUCGUGAGACAGUUUGGUCCCUAUCUGCAGUGGGCGUUGGAAGUUUGACGGGGGCUGCUCCUAGUACGAGAGGACCGGAGUGGACGAACCUCUGGUGUACCGGUUGUAACGCCAGUUGCAUAGCCGGGUAGCUAAGUUCGGAAGAGAUAAGCGCUGAAAGCAUCUAAGCGCGAAACUCGCCUGAAGAUGAGACUUCCCUUGCGGUUUAACCGCACUAAAGGGUCGUUCGAGACCAGGACGUUGA
Molecule: ribosomal RNA, 2810 nt
Filed under: Neisseria gonorrhoeae
Lineage: Bacteria; Pseudomonadati; Pseudomonadota; Betaproteobacteria; Neisseriales; Neisseriaceae
Also listed under: 1 other name
Description: bacterial LSU rRNA
Rfam family: Bacterial large subunit ribosomal RNA
Source: RNAcentral